RNAcentral lists this ribosomal RNA (499 nucleotides) under uncultured bacterium. Its description in RNAcentral is "partial 16S ribosomal RNA". It matches the Rfam family "Bacterial small subunit ribosomal RNA", at positions 30 to 523 of the family's 1533-position model. The record is from RNAcentral.
AUUGAACGCUGGCGGUAUGCUUAACACAUGCAAGUCGAACGAUGAGAAAGAGCUUGCUCUUUCGAUUAGUGGCGGACGGGUGCGUAACGCGUAGGAAUCUACCUAUUAGUGGGGGACAACUUAGGGAAACUUAAGCUAAUACCGCACACGCCCUACGGGGGAAAGAAGGGGAUCGCAAGACCUUUUGCUAAUAGAUGAGCCUGCGUAGGAUUAGCUAGUUGGUGUGGUAAAAGCUCACCAAGGCGACGAUCCUUAACUGGUUUGAGAGAAUGAUCAGUCUCACUGGAACUGAGACACGGUCCAGACCCCUACGGGAGGCAGCAGUGGGGAAUAUUGGACAAUGGGCGAAGGCCUGAUCCAGCAAUACCGCGUGUGUGAAGAAGGCCUUAGGGUUGUAAAGCACUUUCAAUUGGAAGGAAAACCUCGAAGCUAAUACCUUCGAGUUUGACAUUACCUUUAGAAGAAGCACCGGCUAACUCCGUGCCAGCAGCCGCAGUAA